Molecule: long non-coding RNA, 860 nt
Filed under: Daphnia pulicaria
Lineage: Eukaryota; Metazoa; Arthropoda; Branchiopoda; Diplostraca; Daphniidae
Description: uncharacterized LOC124348585, transcript variant X4
Source: RNAcentral
CCAUGCUCCUCCUUGGCGUCCUUGCUUAGCCGCUACUCCUUGCAGGCUGCAGUGGCAGCAAUUUUUUUUGAAUUUGUUUUCCCUUAAAUGUACUCAUAGCCGUUCCCAUAUGAACGCUUUAUUUUGUGAAAUCGAAAGAGAUGUUUUAGUAAAGCUUCAAAAACUGAUUAUGUGAUGGACAGUGAAACCGUUCAAGAGAAUACUGGCCAUACCAGUUCAGUGAUACCUGAUGAUCAGAUGCCAUUCAUCCUGUGAGAGUUCUCUCAAACCAGGUUGAUAGCAAGGUUGAUAGUCAAAUAGUUGAAGAGAACGUGCCAGUUCAGUGAUCUCUUGCUGCAGCCAUCCAUCCUGUGACAGUUCUCUUAUACCGGGUUGAUAUUCAAAUAGAUGAAGAUAAUACUGGCCAUACCAGUUUCAGUGAUAACUGAUGAUCAGAUGCCAUUCAUCCUGUGAGAGUUCUCUCAAACCAGGUUGAUAGCAAGGUUGAUAGUCAAAUAGUUGAAGAGAACGUGCCAGUUCAGUGAUCUCUUGCUGCAGAUGCCAUUAGUCAUGUGACAAUUCUUUCAAACGUACCAAGUUGAUAGUCAAAUAGAAGAAGAGAAUACUGGCCGUGCCAGUUCAGUGAUCUCUUGCUGCAGCCAUCCAUCCUGUGACAGUUCUCUUAUACCGGGUUGAUAUUCAAAUAGAUGAAGAUAAUACUGGCCAUACCAGUUUCAGUGAUAACUGAUGAUCAGAUGCCAUUCAUCCUGUGAGAGUUCUCUCAAACCAGGUUGAUAGCAAGGUUGAUAGUCAAAUAGUUGAAGAGAACGUGCCAGUUCAGUGAUCUCUGCUGCUGAUGCCAUUAGUCAUGUGACAAUUCU